Molecule: ribosomal RNA, 1472 nt
Filed under: uncultured Bordetella sp.
Lineage: Bacteria; Pseudomonadati; Pseudomonadota; Betaproteobacteria; Burkholderiales; Alcaligenaceae
Description: partial 16S-23S ribosomal RNA intergenic spacer
Rfam family: Bacterial small subunit ribosomal RNA
Source: RNAcentral
AGUUCGAUCAUGGCCUGAUUGAACGCUGGCGGGAUGCUUUACACAUGCAAGUCGAACGGCAGCACGGACUUCGGUCUGGUGGCGAGUGGCGAACGGGUGAGAAUACCGGAACGUGCCUUAGUAGCGGGGAUAACUACGCGAAAGCGUAGCUAAUACCGCAUACGCCCUUCGGGAAAGCGGGGACCCUCUGGGCCUCUGCACUCAGAGCGGCCGAUAUCGGAUUAGCUAUUGGUGGGGUAACGGCUCACCAAGGCGACGAUCCGUAGCUGGUUUGAGAGGACGAGACCAGCCACACUGGGACUGAGACACGGCCCAGACUCCUACGGGAGGCAGCAGUGGGGAAUUUUGACAAUGGGAAACUCCUGAUCCAGCCAUCUCGCGUAUGAUGAAGGCCUUCGGGUUGUAAAGCACUUGGUGCAGGGAAAGAAACGGCAUCGAUACCCCGUGCAACUGACGGUACCUGCAGAAUAAGCACCGGCUAACCACAAAGCCAAAGCAGCGCCGUGGUAAUGGCGUAGGGUGCAAGGGGUUAAUCGGAAUUACUGGGCGUAAAAGCGUGUGCGCAGGCGGUUCGGAAAGAAAGAUGUGAAAUCCCAGAGUUUAACUUUUGAACUGCAUUUUUAACUACCGAGCUAGAGUGUAAAGCCAGAGGGAGGUGGAAUCCCGCAGUAGCAGGAAAUGCGUAAAGAUAUGGAGGUGAACCACCGAUGGCGAAGGCAGCCUCCUGGGAUAACACUGACGCUCAUGCACGAAAGCGUGGGAGCAAACAGAUUAGAUACCCUGUAGUCCACGCCCUAAACGAUGUCAACUAGCUGUUGCCUUCGGGCCUCGGUAGCGCAGCUAACGCGGUGAAGUUGACCGCCUGGGGAGUACGGUCGCAAGAUUAAAACUCAAAGGAAUUGAUUGGGACCUGCACAAGCUGGAAGAUGAUGGGAUUAAUUCGAUGCAACGCGAAAAACCUUACCUACCCUUGACAUGUCUGGAAUCCCGAAGAGAUUUGGGAUGCCGCAGAGAACCGGAACACAGGUGCUGCAUGGCUGUCGUCAGCUCGGGCCGAGAUGUUGCUGUCCUGCAACGAGCGCAACCCUUGUCAUUAGUUGCUACGAAAGGGCACUCUAUCGAGACUGCCGGUGACAACCGGAGGAAGGUGGGGAUGACGUCAAGUCCUCAUGGCCCUUAUGGGUAGGGCUUCACACGUCAUACAAUGGUCGGGACAGAGGUCGCCAACCCGCGAGGGGAGCCAAUCCCAGAAACCUGAUCGUAGUCCGGAUCGCAGUCUGCAACUCGACUGCGUGAAGUCGGAAUCGCUAGUAAUCGCGGAUCAGCAUGUCGCGGUGAAUACGUUCCCGGGUCUUGUACACACCGCCCGUCACACCAUGGGAGUGGGUUUUACCAGAAGUAGUUAGCCUAACCGUAAGGAGGGCGAUUACCACGGUAGGAUUCAUGACUGGGGUGAAGUCGUAACAAGGUAA